This 3032-nucleotide long non-coding RNA is filed under the name Helianthus annuus (common sunflower). Its description in RNAcentral is "hypothetical non coding rna". Lineage: Eukaryota; Viridiplantae; Streptophyta; Magnoliopsida; Asterales; Asteraceae. The record is from RNAcentral.
UUUGCAAGAGGGAAAACAUGUCCAAGACAGUGGUAAACUGGUAAUGGAUUAAAUGAAGAAGCAAGCAGAGACAAUGGUAACGACGGUAAGUUCCGUCGAGACAGAGGAAACCUCUUCAGGUGAUUUGGUGGAGAAAGAGAGUAUACAGUGAUUGUAGGUGAAAAACUUGGAGUUCAAUUAUCAAGGAUCGCUUCACAUAUUUGUGGGUUUGGGGUAUCCAACGAAGCGGGGUUGGGUUCAUGAAAUUAAAAGGAAUCAUAAAAUUACUUUUUUGGGAUUGCAAGAAGAAACACAGUUCAGGGACAUUGCAGGUUUAAAUCUUUAAGCAAAUCAGGGUAACCGAAUUUUCAAUUUGAUUUUGUUGAAGCUCAAGGUAGAUCGGGUGGAAUUGUAAGUUUUUCGGAUCCAAUCAUUAUCACAAAGACUAAUGUAAUAAAGAACAAAUUCUUUUUGUUGAUUUCUGGGAAGGUUAAAGGUCAUGAUACUUUGUUCCAUAUUCUCAACGUGUAUGCGCCGCAAGGGGUUUUGGCAAAACAGGUUUUAUGGGAUGAUAUUAAGUCCUCUUAUCAAGGAUGUUGGGUAAUUUUUGGAGGACUUUAAUGUUGUCCGGAGGAAAGGAGGAAUUCUAAUUUCAAUGUGACUAGCGCAAAGACUUUAAUGAUUUAAUUUUUUUUGCAAGUCUCUCGGAAUUAUAUAUAUAUAUAUAUAUUAAACCCAUUAAGUGUAACUGUUUUUCAAAUCAUUCUCUGCCAUUGGAUCUUGCUGAAAUGAAAUCUUGACCAUUUAAACUCCAUAGGGGUGAGCAAGUUUAGGUCCGGACCGAAAAUAACCGAGAACCGAACCGAAAAAUACCCAACCCGACCUGAACCUAAGUACCUAGGUAUUUAGAUCGGUUCCAAUUUUUCAUAUAAAAUAGGGUCGGGUCGGGUCGGUUCUCGGUUCUUUUCAUGGUGAAACCCGACUUGAACCUAUGGACCGGAACCGGCCCUAUAUUUAGGGUAGUGAAUCGGUUCUGUAUUUUAUGUUUGGUCGGUUCUCGGGUCGGGUCGGGUAAUGGUCGGGUAGGGUCGGGUUUUUCUUUUGCUCACCCCUAAAACUCCAUAUUUUAACUGCUAACAUAGCAGUUCACGGCAGUUUCCUAGCCUCCGCCUUUUCCUACCCAUGUUUUCCACGAAUCACGUUUCCCCCAAAAUUGGAUCGUGGGUUCAAUGCAGUUGCGGAUGGGUAGAAAGUAGUUGCCGAGCAGCCUUAUAUAAUGUAAACCCUUGAAUCAAAAAGGUCAUACCUUCAAUCGUUUGAUUUAUGGGUUAAUAUUGAUUUGAAGUCUUGAAGGUAAUAUGUCUAUUAUCCUAUUUAUUGCUCACUUGAUUGAUUCCCUCGAACAAACUUCUGAAAUCUGGUGAGUUGCUUCUAAUUGAAUCCUUCAAUAAUAUCUUCUAAAAUCCAUUGUGUUAAUUACUUGAUGGAAGUGUUGAAGGUAAUUUUUCUGUCAUAAAUAAUUUCUGCCCUAAAUCGAUUUGCCCUAAUUAUGCUCUGGUCUAUUCUGUUAGUUUGUUCAAUAAACAUUGAUAGAUGUCAAGUAUGUUGAAAGUUUAAAUUUAUAAGUGUUUUUUUUUUCAGUGCUAAUUUUGUUGUUCAGUGUGUACUGACUGUAGUUGGUUUUUUGGUUAGGAUGAUGAAGAAGAAUCCUUAGGCACGAAAAGAAGAUGCGGCCACAUUGGGAGGUGUUUUGUAAGCAUUAAGUAUUCAUACAAAGAUGGUGAAUCUGAAAAUUUUGAUUGUUGUAGGCCUCUAGUGAUGUUUCUAAUAAUAAUCUUUGUGGUAAGAUACCCUUUGAUGGCCCUUUCACAAGCUUCCCAAUCGACGGAAUUCAAACUUAAGGGUUAUAAAGACAAACUUCAAAAGUUGAGUGGGAUGGCAUGUUAAGUGGGUUCAAGCAAUUCGAAAAGGUGAAUCUUCUGGUCUUGAAAUCGCAGGUUGAAAUCCAUUUGUCAAAAUCAAAUUUGACUAUUUGAAGCAUAUCCAAAGUAAUUGAGAAUGAGUAUGGAUAUAUAUUGAAUUUCUGAUACAGAGUAUUGGACAUGUAUUAUUUAUGUUUAAUUAUCAUACAAGUUCUUUAUUGAUUAUUUAACCUAACUCAUUUAUGUGCUUUGGGCUGAAUUAUUUGUGAGAGCUUCCUUUAUUUGGAAUCCCUUGCUUACACACUGGUGUUUCUUUCUCAUGGUCGGUUGCCAUGGCACAGAUUCAGGUUGCAUUUCGUCUUUGAAUAUUCUUUUUAUUGUUUGAUUUGUAUAUUUUUGGUAUACUUACAUACUGACUUAACUGUUGUAGGGAUAAAGUGGAAGUAAUUCAAGGAAUAUCAAUAAAACAUAAUCAUCAUACACUUUAAUGUUUUAGGACUUUAUAUGUUUAAUUAGCUGUUUAUAUGUCAAAAUUUUCAUGUGUUUUACACUAUGUUUAUACAUAUAGUUUAACACCUAAAAGUUUUAUAAAAAUGAAAAUGAUUUUGUUUAUUUUUAUUUGUCUCUAAAUAUUCUGGAAAAAAAAUUGAAUUUUGCAGGGUUCAGCAGCUACAGAUGAAAGCUGUGAAUCUGUGAUCACCACUCCACAGCAGUCUCUAAGAGAUGCAAAUAACCCGGCUGGACUCCUCUCGAUUGCAGAAGAGACCUUGGCAGAGUUCCUUUCAAAGGCCACAGGAACUGCUGUCGAUUGGGUCCAGAUGCCUGGGAUGAAGGUAUGUGAUAUAUAUAGAGAAGGGGGGGUUAAGGUAAAAUGAAAACUUCUAUGAAUUGUGAGAACUUAAGAGAACUCUGGAUGAAUACCCAAAAGAGGAUCCACAAGGUGGUGAGGCUGAGUCUACUGAAUCAAUUUUAAAUGUUUCUGUUUAUUUGAAGUUCAGUUUCAUAUUAUCUUUUGAAUUUAAGAUAGUAGACUGUAGGUUUUGUGAAGUUAUCUUGAUCAUAUAUUCACAUAAUCGCAUUAGUGUAGUAUAAGAAACAACUAUCAUAGUAAUUUAUAAUAAUUAUAUGUUG